CAUGAUAUAUUGGUAGAGGAGCAUCGUGCACGGGCAGAAGCCAUACCGCGAGGAGUGGUGGACUGUGCAGGAGAGAGAAUGCCGGCAUGAGUAGCGAGAGCGAAGUGAGAAUCUUCGCCGUCGAAAGCCUAAGGUUUCCUGAGGAAGGUUCGUCCCCUCAGGGUUAGUCAGGACCUAAGCCGAGGACGAAAGUCGUAGGCGAUGGACAACAGGUUGAUAUUCCUGUACCACCUUUGAGCGAUUGACCGAUGCAGUGACACAGUAGGAUAGGCAGAGCGGGCUGAUGGUAGAGCCCGUCCAAGCGUUGAGGCAGGUGCGUAGUGAAGUACGCGCACCAUAAUGCUGGGGCGUGAUGGGGACAGAAAACAAGUAUGGAAGCUGCUGAAUUCACACUGGCGAGAAAAGCUGCUAGGGAGCAAAAGGGUGCCUGUACCGCAAACCGACACAGGUAGGCGAGGAGAGAAUCCUAAGACGAGCGGGAGAACCCUUGUUAAGGAACUCGGCAAAAUGACCCCGUAACUUCGGGAAAAGGGGAGCCUCGAGAGAGGCCGCAGAGAAUAGGCCCAAGCGACUGUUUACCAAAAACACAGGUCUGUGCGAAGUUGAGAGACGAAGUAUACAGGCUGACGCCUGCCCAGUGCCGGAAGGUCAAGGGGAAGUGUUAGGAGCAAUCCGAAGCACGGAACUUAAGCCCCGGUGAACGGCGGCCGUAACGAUAACGGUCCUAAGGUAGCGAAAUUCCUUGUCGGGUAAGUUCCGACCCGCACGAAUGGCGUAACGAUUUGGGCACUGUCUCAACAAGGGACCCGGUGAAAUUGUAGUAUGCGUGAAGAUGCGCAUUGCCCGCGAUAGGACGGAAAGACCCCGUAGAGCUUUACUGUAGCCUGACAUUGGAUUUUGGUAACAGAUGUACAGAAUAGGUGGGAGACUGGGAACCACGGACGCCAGUUCGUGGGGAGUCACCUUUGGGAUACCACUCUUUUGUUACUGGAGUUCUAACGUUGCGCGGUGAUCCCGGUAGCGGACAUUGUCAGGUGGGCAGUUUGACUGGGGCGGUCGCCUCCGAAAGAGUAACGGAGGCGCCCAAAGGUUCCCUCAGAAUGGUUGGAAAUCAUUCGCAGAGUGUAAAGGCAGAAGGGGGCCUGACAGCGAGAGAGACAUUUCGAGCUGGGACGAAAGUCGGGCUUAGUGAUCCGGCGGCAUUGAGUGGGUGAGCCGUCGCUCAACGGAUAAAAGCUACCUCGGGGAUAACAGGCUUAUCUCCCCCAAGAGUCCACAUCGACGGGGAGGUUUGGCACCUCGAUGUCGGCUCGUCGCAUCCUGGGGCUGGAGCAGGUCCCAAGGGUUUGGCUGUUCGCCAAUUAAAGCGGCACGCGAGCUGGGUUCAGAACGUCGUGAGACAGUUCGGUCCCUAUCCAUCGUGGGCGCAGGAGAUUUGAAAGGAGCUGUCCUUAGUACGAGAGGACCAGGAUGGACGCACCUAUGGUGUACCGGUUGUUCUGCCAAGAGCAUGGCCGGGUAGCUAAGUGCGGACGGGAUAAACGCUGAAAGCAUCUAAGCGUGAAGCCCCCCUUAAGAUAAGAUCUCCCAUCAAAAAA
Molecule: ribosomal RNA, 1598 nt
Filed under: metagenome
Description: bacterial LSU rRNA
Rfam family: Bacterial large subunit ribosomal RNA
Source: RNAcentral